RNAcentral lists this ribosomal RNA (253 nucleotides) under uncultured bacterium. RNAcentral describes it as "partial 16S ribosomal RNA". It matches the Rfam family "Bacterial small subunit ribosomal RNA", at positions 524 to 776 of the family's 1533-position model. The record is from RNAcentral.
UACGGGGGGGGCAAGCGUUGUUCGGAAUUACUGGGCGUAAAGGGCUCGUAGGCGGCCAACUAAGUCAGACGUGAAAUCCCUCGGCUUAACCGGGGAACUGCGUCCGAUACUGGCGGGCUUGAGUUUGGGAGAGGGAUGCGGAAUUCCAGGUGUAGUGGUGAAAUGCGUAGAUAUCGGGAGGAACACCAGUGGCGAAGGCGGCUUCCUGGCCUGUUCUUGACGCUGAGGCGCGAAAGCUAGGGGAGCAAACGGG